RNAcentral lists this ribosomal RNA (497 nucleotides) under uncultured bacterium. RNAcentral describes it as "partial 16S ribosomal RNA". It matches the Rfam family "Bacterial small subunit ribosomal RNA", at positions 28 to 507 of the family's 1533-position model. The record is from RNAcentral.
GAUGAACGCUGGCGGCGUGCCUAAUACAUGCAAGUCGAGCGAACGGACGAGAAGCUUGCUUCUCUGAUGUUAGCGGCGGACGGGUGAGUAACACGUGGAUAACCUACCUAUAAGACUGGGAUAACUUCGGGAAACCGGAGCUAAUACCGGAUAAUAUUUUGAACCGCAUGGUUCAAAGGUGAAAGACGGUCUUGCUGUCACUUAUAGAUGGAUCCGCGCUGCAUUAGCUAGUUGGUAAGGUAACGGCUUACCAAGGCAACGAUGCAUAGCCGACCUGAGAGGGUGAUCGGCCACACUGGAACUGAGACACGGUCCAGACUCCUACGGGAGGCAGCAGUAGGGAAUCUUCCGCAAUGGGCGAAAGCCUGACGGAGCAACGCCGCGUGAGUGAUGAAGGUCUUCGGAUCGUAAAACUCUGUUAUUAGGGAAGAACAUAUGUGUAAGUAACUGUGCACAUCUUGACGGUACCUAAUCAGAAAGCCACGGCUAACUACAUG